This 2488-nucleotide long non-coding RNA is filed under the name Pandoravirus celtis. RNAcentral describes it as "hypothetical ncRNA". The record is from RNAcentral.
CGAGCGCCUUGAUGUGUCCGUUGGCGACAGCGUCGUCAAAGGUGUGGCCCACCCAUGGACCCUGGUCGCCAUAGUGGUCGUGUAAAAGGCGCAUUACGCUGACGUGCCCAUUAAAGACGGCGUUGGACAUGCCGCGGUGGGUGGCCGUCCCAAGGCCCAAGCGCAGCAGGACGCGCAAGAGGUCGAUCCUACCAUUGCACGCCUCAGAGUCUUGCACCGCGUGGUUGGCAUAGGCGGCGACGGCCGUCUCGCGGCCCCAUUUGUUGACGCAGGCAACAAAGGCGUCGAUGCUCUGGCCUUGGGCCUUGGAGAGUUGCCGUAGCGCCAGGGCGAUGCGCGUCGGAGCCACCGGUCCGUCACCACCCGGUGUUUCGAGGUCGCCCUCGCCGAGGUCACCACGUAAUGCCAGUGCGCGGCACAGACGCGCGCGAUCGUCGCCCAGUGCCGUCUGCAGCGCAUAGCGCACAUCUGCCGCCGAUGCAUGUUCCAAGAGAAUGGCUGUAACGGUGUUGUGGCCGCCCGCCAAGGCACGACGCAGGGCCGGGCCGAUACGACAGUGGUCGGGCGCGCGCACGCACAAAAAGGACGCCGUGGCCGCGUGGCCCGCAGACGCUGCCCUUUUGAGAGCGCGCGGGCUCGGACGCGCAUCAGAAUGGUCGGCCAGGUAGGUCAGAGCGGCGAGGGCUCCCCGCCGCGCAGCGUCGUCCAUGGCGUCGGGUCCGACAACAGCGGUGCCCCGACGUCCGACCAUAUAGGCGAGCAUUCUCACGUCAUUGUUGACCGCGGCCGAUGCCACCGGUUCAUUGUGAUUGUGGCCGCGGUGCCGCUGUCCCGCCGGCACGCCGUCGUCUGUGAGGCGCGCGCCAUGCUUUUCGUGCAGGAGGCGCACGAGCGCCAUGCGGCCGCGGCUGACCGCAUAGACGAGCGCCCGGUCGACGGCAUGCUGCACCUUGUCGGGUGCGAUGAGACCCGAAUCGAGCACCUGCCUCAUUUUGGCAUAGGCCUGUCGGUCUGUUUUGUUGUGACGUUGCUUUUGCCGCAUCUGGGCAAGCGUGUCGUUUGUGCCCUGGAUGUCAUCGUCAUCAUCAUCGUUGUCGUCGUCCAUGUGGCCAUCCACGGAAUCACCGAUAGGAUCAUCCGUGUCAUUGUCCUCGACAUCGCUGUCAUUUCGUUGGUCGUCACUUUGUUGAUCUCUAUCGCCCUCUUCAUCCUCAUCGUCCGUGUCGGCGUCACCAUAAUAGUCUGGUUCUUUCAGGGUGUCGGUCCACAGAGCGCGGGCGCGCCAUCGGACGGCCGAGUCGGGAACAUAGCGUGCAAGCACUUCGGGCGAGCAUGCCCUGCCGCCGGCCUCAAACACGCGCAAAGCGAGAUCGACGCGGCCGCGGCAUACCGUCUGCGAUACAAUGUCGUCGUCGGGCCACCAGGACCCCAGCGACACGGCGACGUUGCCUCUGUCAAGAAGGUACUCGGCCAUGUCGGUGUGGCCGUUGGCAGCGGCCAAAAGCACGGCAAAGUCAGUGUGCCCGUAACCGCGUGCACCAAGGAGCACAUCGAGCGCACGACGAUGGCCUCGCUUGGCGGCAGCGUCGCCGAUGGCGCACAGGCAGAGAGGCACGCGGAUCGUCGUGCCGUCGGUCCGACGUUGGUCAACAACGCGCGAGGGUCCACACGACGGGCACGGCUCGCCGGGACGCUUGGGUCCGUCGUAGCGGCAGGUCUCAUAGCAGGCAUCUACAUCCGACUCGGCGACGACGGCGAGCGGUGCCAUGCCGUCGUUGGCCAACCAAAGCGCAAUCGUCGAGGCGUCGUCCACGUGCCAGUCGGCGUGGUCCACGAGCCAGCGCACGGCAUCGGUGCGACCGUGCUUGGCCGCCACGCGGAGGUGGUGGGGCCGAAAGCGUACCCCACGGCGGUGGCGCAUAUAGUCGAGCACGCGCACGGGGUCGUCCAAGAGCACGGCCUCGUCGGGCGUCAGGGUCUUGGACAGGAGGCGCGCCCGUGCCCGCGCCUUGGAACAGACCCAAAACAGGCGCGACGCCACCAUGCACGCACCAAAGUCGCGGUCGUCGAGCGAGUCGACAAUGGCCUCGAUCACCGAGUCGGGAAUGUGCUUGAGACGGGCGACCACAGUGGUCUCGCCGUUUUUGUGCGGAUCACUUGCGACCGACGACAGAGGAGACACAUCAAGGUGGUCCACGUCGGCACGUUGACGCUUUCGUCCAGGCAUCAUUGGGGCCAACGGAUCACAUCCGUCGUGGGCGGAACCGCGCUUGCGAUCGGUAGCGGACAUGAUCUCGGCAAAAAAAUGGAGACACAACAGAGCGCACACAGCCCGACAAGUAUUUAAAAAAACUGGAGGAACAAAAGAAGAGAGUCUUGACGGGCGAGUGCGCUCGCCCACGCAAAAGCGACCAACACCAACCGGUAACCUUUUUUUUGCUCGAAAUUAUAUAUUCGGGUUUUCUUUUUGAAAAAAAAAGGUUUGACC